Molecule: transfer RNA, 92 nt
Filed under: Clostridioides difficile
Lineage: Bacteria; Bacillati; Bacillota; Clostridia; Peptostreptococcales; Peptostreptococcaceae
Also listed under: 9 other names
Description: tRNA-Ser
Rfam family: tRNA
About the family: Transfer RNA (tRNA) molecules are approximately 80 nucleotides in length. Their secondary structure includes four short double-helical elements and three loops (D, anti-codon, and T loops).
Source: RNAcentral
GGAGAGGUGGUCGAGUGGUCGAAGGCGCUCGCCUGGAAAGCGAGUAUAUGGGUAAAACUGUAUCGUGGGUUCAAAUCCCACUCUCUCCGCCA